UAUUCUCAACUCUACAAAGCUUUUGCAAUGAAGAGUUGGAUUUGGAGGCUUGUGUUGGCUCGAAAGAGUUGACUCCUCUGAAAUGCAUUAGUGUGAACCUUUACGGAUCGCCUCCAGUGUGAUAAUGUCUACGCUGUGGUGUUGAAGUAUUUCUAGUGUUCAUGCUUCUAACCGUCCUCUUGGGACAAUCAUUUGACAAU
RNAcentral lists this unclassified non-coding RNA (200 nucleotides) under uncultured Scopuloides. RNAcentral describes it as "sequence contains ITS2". Lineage: Eukaryota; Fungi; Basidiomycota; Agaricomycetes; Polyporales; Meruliaceae. The record is from RNAcentral.